AUAUUGGAAAAUUUUGUAUAAAACCAAACAAAUCAAUUUGCAAAGGCAAGUCUGGUACACCUUCUUAUCAGAAUAACAACAUUCUGCACUCCUGCAAGCACCAUCUUUGAUGCAUUUAAAUGUCCCUGACUAUUUUUCAUGUCUAGCUAUAUCCCUAAUUGUCAUAUGGCAUCUAUUUUUCCUUUGCUCUGCUUUAUUUCAAGUGUUCAGAAGUGGCAGC
Molecule: long non-coding RNA, 220 nt
Filed under: Daucus carota (carrot)
Lineage: Eukaryota; Viridiplantae; Streptophyta; Magnoliopsida; Apiales; Apiaceae
Description: long non-coding RNA (DCAR_LNC000110)
Source: RNAcentral